Molecule: ribosomal RNA, 336 nt
Filed under: Catotricha subobsoleta
Lineage: Eukaryota; Metazoa; Arthropoda; Insecta; Diptera; Cecidomyiidae
Description: partial 16S ribosomal RNA
Source: RNAcentral
UUUAUUAAUUGUAAUCUAGUAUGAAGGGUUGGACGAAAUAAUAGCUGUUUCUUUUAAAUUUUAUAGAAUUUUAUUUUUUAGUUAAAAAGCUAAAAUUUUUUUAAGGGACGAGAAGACCCUAUAGAUUUUUAUAUAUUAAUGAUUGUAAAAUAAACAAAAUUUUUAUAUUAUAGUUAAAUAUAUUUUAUUGGGGUGAUAAUAAGAUUUAAUUAACUCUUAAUAAAAAUUACAUUAAUUUAUGAUUUAUUGAUCCAAUAGUAUUGAUUAUUAGUUUAAAUUACCUUAGGGAUAACAGCAUAAUUUUUUUAUAGAGUUCAUAUUAAUAAAAAAGAUUAU